RNAcentral lists this ribosomal RNA (606 nucleotides) under Shouchella clausii. RNAcentral's name for it is "bacterial SSU rRNA". It matches the Rfam family "Bacterial small subunit ribosomal RNA", at positions 267 to 865 of the family's 1533-position model. Lineage: Bacteria; Bacillati; Bacillota; Bacilli; Caryophanales; Bacillaceae. The record is from RNAcentral.
AUCAAGGCAACGAUGCGUAGCCGACGUGAGAGGGUGAUCGGCCACACUGAGACUGAGACACGGCCCAGACUCCUACGCGAGGCAGCAGUAGGGAAUCUUCCGCAAUGGACGAAAGUCUGACGGAGCAACGCCGCGUGAGUGAGGAAGGCCUUCGGGUCGUAAAGCUCUGUUGUGAGGGAAGAAGCGGUACCGUUCGAAUAGGGCGGUACCUUGACGGUACCUCACCAGAAAGCCACGGCUAACUACGUGCCAGCAGCCGCGGUAAUACGUAGGUGGCAAGCGUUGUCCGGAAUUAUUGGGCGUAAAGCGCGCGCAGGCGGCUUCUUAAGUCUGAUGUGAAAUCUCGGGGCUCAACCCCGAGCGGCCAUUGGAAACUGGGGAGCUUGAGUGCAGAAGAGGAGAGUGGAAUUCCACGUGUAGCGGUGAAAUGCGUAGAGAUGUGGAGGAACACCAGUGGCGAAGGCGACUCUCUGGUCUGUAACUGACGCUGAGGCGCGAAAGCGUGGGGAGCAAACAGGAUUAGAUACCCUGGUAGUCCACGCCGUAAACGAUGAGUGCUAGGUGUUAGGGGUUUCGAUGCCCGUAGUGCCGAAGUAACACAUAAGC